Molecule: long non-coding RNA, 335 nt
Filed under: Phasianus colchicus (ring-necked pheasant)
Lineage: Eukaryota; Metazoa; Chordata; Aves; Galliformes; Phasianidae
Description: lncRNA (ENSPCLG00000011138.1)
Source: RNAcentral
GGACUUUCCCUUGUCUCCACCUUGGAGAGAAGAGCGUGUUCUGAUAUGAAUGAAGAAACAGGAUCCCUGUGGUCUGUUUUCCACAUUCUUUGAGCCAUCCCAAUGUAGGAACUAAGAGAAGAAAUCUCAUUCUUUCUCUUCUGCCCUUGAAAGAGCAACAGGUUCUGCAGCAGUGAGUCCAAGAUCCCCACUGAGGGCAUCUGACACGUGGCUGCAUGAUGCUCCUUGCUGCAAAUUCAAGAACUGAGGAUGUUCUUGGAAGAAAGAGGGAGAAAACAAUGUUUUGGAUAACAACAAAACUGAGGAGUGACAGAAUCCUAGGAAAUACCAAAUAG